GACGGGGGAUGCAAGUGUUAUCCGGAAUAAUUGGGCGUAAAGCGUCUGUAGGUGGUUUAUCAAGUCUGUUGUUAAAAAUUAGGGCUUAACCCUGAUCCGGCAACAGAAACUAAUAAGCUAGAGUACGGUAGGGGCAGAGGGAAUUCUCGAUGUAGUGGUGAAAUACGUAGAUAUCGAGAAGAACACCAACAGCGAAAGCACUCUGCUGGGCCGAAACUGACAUUGAGAGACGAGAGCUAGGGGAGCGAAAGGG
Molecule: ribosomal RNA, 253 nt
Filed under: uncultured prokaryote
Description: partial 16S ribosomal RNA
Rfam family: Bacterial small subunit ribosomal RNA
Source: RNAcentral